This 2166-nucleotide long non-coding RNA is filed under the name Actinidia chinensis (golden kiwifruit). RNAcentral describes it as "long non-coding RNA (ACHI_LNC005978)". The record is from RNAcentral. Lineage: Eukaryota; Viridiplantae; Streptophyta; Magnoliopsida; Ericales; Actinidiaceae.
UCCCUAUCUCGCUAUGUCUCUUUCUCUCCCCUUUCCGCAUCCAUCGUCUACCAUAAUCACAACCACGACCUAGCUCUUUCAUCCAUCUCACUAGAUUGAACAUAAGCACAUAAUCAACCUAACAUGUGAGAUUUCAGUUAUUGCUUACAGCUAUAGCCAAUUUAGGGUGUGGACCAAUAGUAUUUAUAAGUGAUUUUUUCUUUUUGAUAACUCAGUAUCCAGCAGAAGGUGCAACUAAAGUGGGGGACCAAUCACAUUGUCUACUAGCGGAGCACAUAUUAAAACCGUGGCAAAGCUCUGUAUGGAUUGAUCCAACUCAAGAAUUUAUAGCACUUACAAGGUUUCGAACAUGAAACCUUGAAAAUUAGGGAGUGAACCUCCAAAUUUCAAGCCUACACCACUGGCCACUAGGCCAACUCCUGGGAGGUUAAUAGUACCUGUAAGUCAUGGCUCAAAUUUGUUUUUCAGCACUUCAUCGUAACACCCCCACCCACCCCCCGAAAAUAGUGAAUGUUAGAUCUUAUAAACAUUUCAGAAGGGAUAGAUUAUGCAAUUGCAAUUUUAAAUUGCAGGGUCCAUAAUUCUAAACCGAGGGCAAGCAAGAACUGUUUGAGUUUACCUGAUUUCAUAUCACUUGGAUAAAGAUAACAUCAUAACAUGAUCGGAUGAAAAGUUUGUAAGUACUAUUUUUGUAAUUUUUUUUAUUAAUUCCUCUAUGGGUUUAUCUCUAUACACCAAUUCUUUCAAAUACCUAAUUCUACUACAUAAACCGUUGUUGAGGUCCAAAAAACAUCACCAGAGCGACCUCCCUUUGUUAUUAACUGGCUCUUUUCAAAUUGGAAUGUGUUAUUAACUAGGUUUUCAAGUUCUGUGAAAGAUGGAGACAAUGGCAAUUUCAAAAUUCCGGAAAAACCAAGAACCAAUCAUAGUAAAACUCAAAGUUUGCCAUGAACAUGAAGCUUUUGCUCUUAAAUAUGUGAAAAUGACAUUAAUUUCUAUUUAUGUGUUCCAGAACUUUAUGAUAUGUUAAGGGUCAUAAAAAACCUCGCGGUUCUCGGUUCGGGCCCGAUCCAGCCCAUGGUUCAAAGAGCCCAAACUCGACCCAAGCCCAGGGUAGUAUGGGCUGGACCUGGGUCUAAUUUUAAAGCCCGUGGGUCGACCCAUGGUCCGACCCAUGAUCCAUCCCAAAGGCCUAUCCCCAAGCCUAGUGUGAGGCUCGUACUUGCUUUUUAUCAUUUUUGUUUACAUUAUACAAAUUUUUGUGUAGAGUAACUUGGCCUAGAAAUGGUUCAAGUUGAAGCAAUUUUCAUGGGCUUUUGAGAAAAUUUAAAUGAACUAUAGGGUUUUAGAAGGCCGGGUCCUAUCCUUGCCCAACUCCUUUUGGUCUCUCAUUCAAGGUUCAUUAUUUGGCAACCCACGAAGAAAAAAAAAUUUAAUAAAUAUUUUUAUAAUAAUAUAAUUAGUUUUUUGGGUAUAAUUAGUUUGUUGAUUAAUCACUUAUCAAAAACUCUAAAAAAAAAUUAGGACAACUAGAUUAGUAGAUUUUUUUUAAAAAAAAUUCUUCGCUAAAUCCUUAAUCCAAACACAGUCUUACAAAAAAUAGUAAAUUUGUCAUAAGAUAUUUUUAUGAGCCAUACGCAAUUUACUCUCGGAAAAUAGAUAGAUAAUGUGACUAUGAUUGAUAGAUAUAUAUAUGCCAACCUAAUUGGGAUAUAUUUAUUAUGCAGUGAUGCAGUUUCUCCCCAACUUCAAUUAUUUACAACAUUUUAUAUUUUAUAUGUAAAGAAUCAAUAUGUAUGAAUGAUUUCAUGUAAUUACGCAUUAUUUUUUUCAUCUUUAAUAUUUUUAAUCUUUUAAUUUCGAAUAAAAUAUAUUUACAAAAACAUUAUUUAAAGAUCCGUAGACCUAGGCCCGUGGACAGGGCAUCGGUCUCAUCUUUUUGGCCCAAGACCGUUCCGGCCCAGCUCAUUGACGACCCUUAUGACAUUUUUAUGCUGCCUUGAGGCAGAAUCUUUUGUAUGAAACAAGAAAAAGAAAAUCAAUCUGUACACAUAAAUGGCGAUUAAUGCUUUACUGAAUUUUGUUAGCUCAAGUAUGCCAAGUGUUUUCUAUCAUGAAUUUUCUAUCAUGAAUCAUAAUCCACCCAAUUGAAAAGUGAGAUUGUUG